RNAcentral lists this long non-coding RNA (317 nucleotides) under Manihot esculenta (cassava). Its description in RNAcentral is "long non-coding RNA (MESC_LNC009781)". Lineage: Eukaryota; Viridiplantae; Streptophyta; Magnoliopsida; Malpighiales; Euphorbiaceae. The record is from RNAcentral.
GAAUCUUGGCUAACUUAUCAACUAUUCGUUGUGGCGUUUGUCAGAUUCUCAUCUAAAUCCUUCGAUCAUUGGUGUUUCAGCUUCUCUAAGUUUGGGGUGCCAUAGGAGGUGGGUUUAUCAAAUCUUUGAAUUCCAUAUCUACUUGUGCGUGUGGGUUUGAGGCUUGUGCCAUAGGGUUCCGCGUCAGUUGGUAUCAGAGCCAAAGUGAGGUAAAUUCUUAUUUAUCUUAGGAUCUAGGGGUUUUUGAGUUUUCCUUGUCUUUCUUGUUCUUUUCGGUGAAAGCUUGUGUGUCCAUGGCUGCAUCUUCUUGAUUAUUA